CCGGUAGUGGCGGUGAGCGGGCG
This 23-nucleotide microRNA is filed under the name Gallus gallus (chicken). RNAcentral's name for it is "microRNA Ros-gga". The record is from RNAcentral. Lineage: Eukaryota; Metazoa; Chordata; Aves; Galliformes; Phasianidae.